Molecule: ribosomal RNA, 254 nt
Filed under: uncultured bacterium
Lineage: Bacteria
Description: partial 16S ribosomal RNA
Rfam family: Bacterial small subunit ribosomal RNA
Source: RNAcentral
UACGGGGGGAGCAAGCGUUGUUCGGAUUUACUGGGCGUAAAGGGCGCGUAGGCGGUCGUGACAAGUCACUUGUGAAAUCUCCGGGCUUAACUCGGAACGGUCAAGUGAUACUGUCGGACUAGAGUACAGAAGGGGCAACUGGAAUUCUCGGUGUAGCGGUGAAAUGCGUAGAUAUCUGGAGGAACAUCAGUGGCGAAGGCGACACCCUGGACUCAUACUGACACUGAGGUGCGAAAGCGUGGGGAGCAAACAGG